Molecule: ribosomal RNA, 465 nt
Filed under: uncultured bacterium
Lineage: Bacteria
Description: partial 16S ribosomal RNA
Rfam family: Bacterial small subunit ribosomal RNA
Source: RNAcentral
GACGAACGCUGGCGGCGUGCUUAACACAUGCAAGUCGAACGGAAAGGCCCUGCUUGCGGGGUACUCGAGUGGCGAACGGGUGAGUGACACGUGGGUGUACUGCCCUGCACUUCGGGAUAAGCCUGGAAAACUGGGUCUAAUACCGGAUAGGGGCGAUUUUUCGGGUGGUGGUUGGAAAGUAUUUUCGGUGUAGGAUGGGCUCGCGGCCUAUCAGCUUGUUGGUGGGGUAAUGGCCUACCAAGGCGGCGGCGGGUAGCCGGCCUGGGAGGGUGGACGGCCACAUUGGGGCUGAGGUAAGGCCCAGACUCCUACGGGAGGCAACAGGGGGGAAUAAUGGACAAUGGGCGCAAGCCUGAUGCAGCGACGCCGCGGGGGGGAUGACGGGCUUCGGGUUGUAAAAUCCCUUCGCUAGGGACGAAGCUUUUUGUGACGGUACCUAGUGAAGAAGCACCGGCUAACUACGUG